RNAcentral lists this ribosomal RNA (460 nucleotides) under uncultured bacterium. Its description in RNAcentral is "partial 16S ribosomal RNA". It matches the Rfam family "Bacterial small subunit ribosomal RNA", at positions 338 to 795 of the family's 1533-position model. The record is from RNAcentral.
CCUACGGGAGGCAGCAGUGAGGAAUAUUGGUCAAUGGGCGGAAGCCUGAACCAGCCAAGCAGCGUGCAGGAUGACGGCCCUACGGGUUGUAAACUGCUUUUAUACGGGAAUAACGCGCCUUACGUGUAGGGCUUUGUAUGUACCAUAUGCAUAAGCAUCGGCUAACUCCGUGCCAGCAGCCGCGGUAAUACGGAGGAUGCGAGCGUUAGCCGGAUUUAUUGGGUUUAAAGGGUGCGUAGGUGGUUAAUUAAGUCAGCGGUGAAAGUUUGUGGCUCAACCAUAAAAUUGCCGUUGAAACUGGUUGACUUGAGUAGAUGAGAGGUAGGCGGAAUGCGUGGUGUAGCGGUGAAAUGCAUAGAUAUCACGAAGAACUCCGAUUGCGAAGGCAGCUUACUAAACUAUAACUGACACUGAAGCACGAAAGCGUGGGGAGCAAACAGGAUUAGAUACCCUAGUAGUC